Molecule: unclassified non-coding RNA, 292 nt
Organism: Callithrix jacchus (white-tufted-ear marmoset)
Lineage: Eukaryota; Metazoa; Chordata; Mammalia; Primates; Cebidae
Rfam family: Metazoan signal recognition particle RNA
About the family: The signal recognition particle (SRP) is a universally conserved ribonucleoprotein. It is involved in the co-translational targeting of proteins to membranes.
Source: Ensembl
GCCAGGCGCCGUGGUGCGUGCCUGUAGUCCCAGCUACUCAGGAGGUUGAGGUGGGAGGUUCGCUUGAGCCCAGGAGUUCUGGGCUGUAGUGCACUAUGCUGAUUGGGUGUCUGCACUAAGUUCGGCAUCAGUAUGGUGACUUCCUGGGAGCGGGGGACCACCAGGUUGCCUAAAGAGGGGCGAACCGGCCCAGGUCAGAAAUGGAGCAGAUCAAUACUGAUCAGUAGUGGGAUUGCGCCUGUGAAUAGCCACUGCACUCCAGCCUGGGAAACAUAGCGAGACCCCAUCUCUU